UGUGCUAAGCACAACACUUGAUUCAUAAUUGGCAGGUGCCGAUUUGGGUUAAGUGUUUUUCUUAGCAUUGUAUGACGGCGAAGGCCGGGUAACAGUUUAUAGCAUUAGUAUAUAGUACAAGUACUUUGGCACUUUGUGUUUUUCAAAGUCAAAGUCCAAAGUGUUGUCAGCGUAAAGUCCUUAGGAAGUCCUUAGGGAUUAUGUUGAUGUCGGGAAGCUUCGGCCGGGUAACUAUGUAGUUUGUAGUUUGCUCAAUAUAUUUUCGGAGACGGACCGACUUUACACACUUAAGACUACAAAGUUGGGCCAUGAAGCCAUGGACUUUUUCAUUGCUCAGGGACUUAGCCAAGGACUUAGCUAUAGACCUGCCAGUGGUUGUCAGUGGUAUUUCUGAGGUCGCAAGAGACGAAUCACGUGACAAUUGAUGGUAAUUGGCAAAUGUCAAGGUCAGGACAUUGGCUUGGAUAUGGGGCAUCGAGCCUUGGACAUAAUUUGGCUAAGGGAGAAGUCACGUGACCGAUGGUGAACGACACUAUAUCCAGAGAGAGGAUAGGGUGGAGGAAGAAGAUAUUGGAGGACGAGGAUUUGGGAAACCAUGGGCAGGAAAAGGGAAUUAGAGAGGAGUAUAUAAAUGGCGGAGAUGAGGGGAUUGAUUGAGGUUGUCAGUGCACAUAAAAAAGUCGUGAAAAGUAUUGGGAGGACUAGGGUAGGAGAUGGGGGACUAAAUGUGCGUGUGUGCGCAGUAGGGGACCAAAUACUCUUGAAAUCAAGCAGAUUCGAGCCGUGUUUGAAUAAACGGUGAAAUUAAAUUGAUUUUCAACGUUAUGUUAGACAUUGUGACCGGUCCGGCGAAAAAGAAAAAGAGAUAACUUACCAAGAACUGAAAAGAUCCUUCAUGAGAAAAGAACAACAACUCAGGUAAAAGCAGCUGAGAAAGGUCUACGGGCCGAGUAAAAGUAUGCCUACUCCAUGCAGAGAUUGUGGUUUGCGAUUCAGCUUGUAAUGUCUUCGGGCAUUGCAGCUGUCUCGGGGGCCAUGACUCGGUGGGACGAGGUGUUUAUCCGUCUUUUCUCAGUCUCAGUAGCCAAAUUGUUAACUGGCAAGGGUUAGGCGCCGAACAUCAGAAUCGGUGCCGCCUCAACAGUUAGCAAUAUGGGUCGUAAGACCCGAAGAGUCCUGGCGCGACAUUGUGUCGUCGUCUAGGCAAGGUUGGAUUUUGUGGAUUACUAGCCGAUGGCAAGAAUUUACAAUAAACCAAUCGGGAGUAUCCCAGGGAAGGUAGCCGGCCGCAUUUGUUUGUGACUGUGACUUUUCCAUGGCGACUCCCUCUCAAGUCGACGAUGUUAAACCUUUGAAUUGAAUUUUUCAAAGUGUUUGACAGAAAUCGAUUAGAGGAACUCAAAAAAGGCAAACGGAUGCAGUUUCUGAGGGCGUCAGUAAAAUGACAAACUUGAGAAUCUGCCUAUCAACAUGACAUUUUGUUGUGAUUGAUGGAAACUUUGAAAACUUCCCUCUCCUUCGGGAGAGUUUAGACUUACAAUCUGCUUCGGCAGUUUGUAAGUUUAAGGAUAGUUAUCUGGUUGAUCCUGCCAGU
This 1594-nucleotide ribosomal RNA is filed under the name Blastobotrys adeninivorans. Lineage: Eukaryota; Fungi; Ascomycota; Dipodascomycetes; Dipodascales; Trichomonascaceae. The record is from RNAcentral.